This 238-nucleotide ribosomal RNA is filed under the name uncultured bacterium. RNAcentral's name for it is "partial 16S ribosomal RNA". It matches the Rfam family "Bacterial small subunit ribosomal RNA", at positions 29 to 295 of the family's 1533-position model. The record is from RNAcentral.
ACGAACGCUGGCGGCAUGCCUAACACAUGCAAGUCGAACGAGACCUUCGGGUCUAGUGGCGCACGGGUGCGUAACGCGUGGGAAUCUGCCCUUUGCUUCGGAAUAACAGUUAGAAAUGACUGCUAAUACCGGAUGAUGUCUUCGGACCAAAGAUUUAUCGGCAAAGGAUGAGCCCGCGUAGGAUUAGGUAGUUGGUGGGGUAAAGGCCUACCAAGCCGACGAUCCUUAGCUGGUCUGA